UACGAAGGGGGCUAGCGUUGUUCGGAAUCACUGGGCGUAAAGGGCGCGUAGGCGGCUUUGUAAGUCGGGGGUGAAGGCCUGUGGCUCAACCACAGAAUUGCCUUCGAUACUGCAUGGCUUGAGACCGGAAGAGGUAAGUGGAACUGCGAGUGUAGAGGUGAAAUUCGUAGAUAUUCGCAAGAACACCAGUGGCGAAGGCGGCUUACUGGUCCGGUUCUGACGCUGAGGCGCGAAAGCGUAGGGAGCAAACAGG
This 253-nucleotide ribosomal RNA is filed under the name uncultured bacterium. RNAcentral's name for it is "partial 16S ribosomal RNA". It matches the Rfam family "Bacterial small subunit ribosomal RNA", at positions 524 to 776 of the family's 1533-position model. The record is from RNAcentral.